RNAcentral lists this ribosomal RNA (430 nucleotides) under Pseudomonadota bacterium. RNAcentral's name for it is "Proteobacteria bacterium partial 16S ribosomal RNA". It matches the Rfam family "Bacterial small subunit ribosomal RNA", at positions 355 to 776 of the family's 1533-position model. The record is from RNAcentral. Lineage: Bacteria; Pseudomonadati; Pseudomonadota.
UGGGGAAUAUUGGACAAUGGGGGGAACCCUGAUCCAGCCAUGCCGCGUGUGUGAAGAAGGCCUUAUGGUUGUAAAGCACUUUAAGCGAGGAGGAGGGUACUGGUAUUAAUACUACCAGGUACUGGACGUUACUCGCAGAAUAAGCACCGGCUAACUCUGUGCCAGCAGCCGCGGUAAUACAGAGGGUGCGAGCGUUAAUCGGAUUUACUGGGCGUAAAGCGUGCGUAGGCGGCUAAUUGAGUCGGAUGUGAAAUCCCCGAGCUUAACUUGGGAAUUGCAUUCGAUACUGGUUAGCUAGAGUGUGGGAGAGGAUGGUAGAAUUCCAGGUGUAGCGGUGAAAUGCGUAAAGAUCUGGAGGAAUACCGAUGGCGAAGGCAGCCAUCUGGCCUAACACUGACGCUGAGGUACGAAAGCAUGGGGAGCAAACAGG